Ornithorhynchus anatinus (platypus) is the source of this 781-nucleotide non-coding RNA. The record is from the annotation of a RefSeq genome assembly. Lineage: Eukaryota; Metazoa; Chordata; Mammalia; Monotremata; Ornithorhynchidae.
GAAUGAGCAGAGUGCAUCUUACAGGAAAGGUUUGAGAAAACAUUGCACCACCUCACUGGAUUCACCACAUGAGGGCAUUAUCAUCCAGUCACGACCCAUUUCUUCCAUAUUCACAGGAUAUCUGUUGUCGGCCAAAGAUUUUUACCUUUACCUCUUCCCUGAGUGUCACUGAUACUCAGAGAGCAGAGAUCAGUUGAUCAUGGUCUUCACUCCAGGCUUUGUACUUGUGAUCUUAUUGGCUUUGGGGCAGACGGAUGGAGACUCGGUGGAUCAGACGGAAGGCAGCCUAGCCCUUGUUGAAGAGAAGGAGCUCCUUCUCAACUGUACUUAUGUAACUAGUGACUCUUCGCCUACUCUUUUCUGGUACAUCCAGUUGCCUGGGGAAGGCCCUCAGCUCCUCCUGAAAACCACAUUUGGGAACGAACAGAAGGUAACUGGAAAUGAUUUUUAUGCCAAACUCAAUAAAACUGAGAAGUCUUUCCACCUGAGGAAACAAGCCAUCACCGUGGGAGACUCGGCCAUGUACUACUGUGCUGUGAGUGACACAGUGACAGGGGCUGCAGGGGGAGCUGUACAUAAACCCCUGAUGGACCCAGCAGCCACCAGCUGGAAGCAGAGUUGCCUUCUCUCCCUCAUCCACAGACACACACCAGCCCUGGGUCAUCUCCAAGGAGAUGGGAAACUCCAGGCCCUGAUGACUGAUGCACUCAUCAUGGCCAGUGGAUGGAAAAGGCUGGAGGAUUUUGUGACCAGUGGCCACCUGUACAUGGGAUCCUCAUGA